RNAcentral lists this ribosomal RNA (2902 nucleotides) under Klebsiella pneumoniae. RNAcentral's name for it is "23S ribosomal RNA". It matches the Rfam family "Bacterial large subunit ribosomal RNA". RNAcentral also lists the same sequence under 1 other name. The record is from RNAcentral. Lineage: Bacteria; Pseudomonadati; Pseudomonadota; Gammaproteobacteria; Enterobacterales; Enterobacteriaceae.
GGUUAAGCGACUAAGCGUACACGGUGGAUGCCCUGGCAGUCAGAGGCGAUGAAGGACGUGCUAAUCUGCGAAAAGCGUCGGUAAGGUGAUAUGAACCGUUAUAACCGGCGAUGUCCGAAUGGGGAAACCCAGUGCAAUUCGUUGCACUAUCGUUAACUGAAUACAUAGGUUAACGAGGCGAACCGGGGGAACUGAAACAUCUAAGUACCCCGAGGAAAAGAAAUCAACCGAGAUUCCCCCAGUAGCGGCGAGCGAACGGGGAGCAGCCCAGAGUCUGAAUCAGCUUGUGUGUUAGUGGAACGGUCUGGAAAGUCCGACGGUACAGGGUGAUAGUCCCGUACACCAAAAUGCACAGGCUGUGAACUCGAAGAGUAGGGCGGGACACGUGGUAUCCUGUCUGAAUAUGGGGGGACCAUCCUCCAAGGCUAAAUACUCCUGACUGACCGAUAGUGAACCAGUACCGUGAGGGAAAGGCGAAAAGAACCCCGGCGAGGGGAGUGAAAAAGAACCUGAAACCGUGUACGUACAAGCAGUGGGAGCACCUUCGGGUGUGACUGCGUACCUUUUGUAUAAUGGGUCAGCGACUUAUAUUCUGUAGCAAGGUUAACCGUAUAGGGGAGCCGCAGGGAAACCGAGUCUUAACUGGGCGUUAAGUUGCAGGGUAUAGACCCGAAACCCGGUGAUCUAGCCAUGGGCAGGUUGAAGGUUGGGUAACACUAACUGGAGGACCGAACCGACUAAUGUUGAAAAAUUAGCGGAUGACUUGUGGCUGGGGGUGAAAGGCCAAUCAAACCGGGAGAUAGCUGGUUCUCCCCGAAAGCUAUUUAGGUAGCGCCUCGUGAACUCAUCUUCGGGGGUAGAGCACUGUUUCGGCUAGGGGGUCAUCCCGACUUACCAACCCGAUGCAAACUACGAAUACCGAAGAAUGUUAUCACGGGAGACACACGGCGGGUGCUAACGUCCGUCGUGAAGAGGGAAACAACCCAGACCGCCAGCUAAGGUCCCAAAGUCAUGGUUAAGUGGGAAACGAUGUGGGAAGGCACAGACAGCCAGGAUGUUGGCUUAGAAGCAGCCAUCAUUUAAAGAAAGCGUAAUAGCUCACUGGUCGAGUCGGCCUGCGCGGAAGAUGUAACGGGGCUAAACCAUGCACCGAAGCUGCGGCAGCGACACUAUGUGUUGUUGGGUAGGGGAGCGUUCUGUAAGCCUGCGAAGGUGACCUGUGAGGGUUGCUGGAGGUAUCAGAAGUGCGAAUGCUGACAUAAGUAACGAUAAAGCGGGUGAAAAGCCCGCUCGCCGGAAGACCAAGGGUUCCUGUCCAACGUUAAUCGGGGCAGGGUGAGUCGACCCCUAAGGCGAGGCCGAAAGGCGUAGUCGAUGGGAAACAGGUUAAUAUUCCUGUACUUGGUGUUACUGCGAAGGGGGGACGGAGAAGGCUAUGUUAGCCGGGCGACGGUUGUCCCGGUUUAAGCAUGUAGGCUGGUUGUCCAGGCAAAUCCGGAUAAUCAAGGCUGAGGUGUGAUGACGAGGCACUACGGUGCUGAAGUAACAAAUGCCCUGCUUCCAGGAAAAGCCUCUAAGCAUCAGGUAACAUUAAAUCGUACCCCAAACCGACACAGGUGGUCAGGUAGAGAAUACCAAGGCGCUUGAGAGAACUCGGGUGAAGGAACUAGGCAAAAUGGUGCCGUAACUUCGGGAGAAGGCACGCUGGUGUGUAGGUGAAGUCCCUGCGGAUGGAGCUGAGACCAGUCGAAGAUACCAGCUGGCUGCAACUGUUUAUUAAAAACACAGCACUGUGCAAACACGAAAGUGGACGUAUACGGUGUGACGCCUGCCCGGUGCCGGAAGGUUAAUUGAUGGGGUUAUCCGUAAGGAGAAGCUCUUGAUCGAAGCCCCGGUAAACGGCGGCCGUAACUAUAACGGUCCUAAGGUAGCGAAAUUCCUUGUCGGGUAAGUUCCGACCUGCACGAAUGGCGUAAUGAUGGCCAGGCUGUCUCCACCCGAGACUCAGUGAAAUUGAACUCGCUGUGAAGAUGCAGUGUACCCGCGGCAAGACGGAAAGACCCCGUGAACCUUUACUAUAGCUUGACACUGAACAUUGAGCCUUGAUGUGUAGGAUAGGUGGGAGGCUUUGAAGCGUGGACGCCAGUCUGCGUGGAGCCAACCUUGAAAUACCACCCUUUAAUGUUUGAUGUUCUAACGUUGGCCCCUGACCGGGGUUGCGGACAGUGUCUGGUGGGUAGUUUGACUGGGGCGGUCUCCUCCCAAAGCGUAACGGAGGAGCACGAAGGUUAGCUAAUCCUGGUCGGACAUCAGGAGGUUAGUGCAAUGGCAUAAGCUAGCUUGACUGCGAGCGUGACGGCGCGAGCAGGUGCGAAAGCAGGUCAUAGUGAUCCGGUGGUUCUGAAUGGAAGGGCCAUCGCUCAACGGAUAAAAGGUACUCCGGGGAUAACAGGCUGAUACCGCCCAAGAGUUCAUAUCGACGGCGGUGUUUGGCACCUCGAUGUCGGCUCAUCACAUCCUGGGGCUGAAGUAGGUCCCAAGGGUAUGGCUGUUCGCCAUUUAAAGUGGUACGCGAGCUGGGUUUAGAACGUCGUGAGACAGUUCGGUCCCUAUCUGCCGUGGGCGCUGGAGAAUUGAGGGGGGCUGCUCCUAGUACGAGAGGACCGGAGUGGACGCAUCACUGGUGUUCGGGUUGUCAUGCCAAUGGCACUGCCCGGUAGCUAAAUGCGGAAGAGAUAAGUGCUGAAAGCAUCUAAGCACGAAACUUGCCCCGAGAUGAGUUCUCCCUGAGACUUUAAGUCUCCUGAAGGAACGUUAAAGACGAUGACGUUGAUAGGCCGGGUGUGUAAGCGCAGCGAUGCGUUGAGCUAACCGGUACUAAUGAACCGUGAGGCUUAACCUU